UUUCCGUAGGUGAACCUGCGGAAGGAUCAUUAGAAGAAUAUGUACCAAGCUUCAUUGUAAGCCAGGAGUUACAGUUCUAACACACUCUGCGUAUUGUUCCUGUUGCUUCCGUGGGGUGGAGCUUGUCACUGGCAGCUCUGGCCAGCCGGUUGGUUGGUUUCCACGGGAGGUAUUCUACAAACUAUUUGCAUUUAUUUUGCUUUCUGUCUGAAUCAUGUUAAUAACAAAUGUUAAAACUUUCAACAACGGAUCUCUUGGUUCUCGCAUCGAUGAAGAACGCAGCGAAAUGCGAUAAGUAGUGUGAAUUGCAGAAUUCAGUGAAUCAUCGAAUCUUUGAACGCACAUUGCGCCUCCUGGUAUUCCGGGAGGCAUGCCUGUCCGAGCACAAAGCGAAGAGGAUCUGGACGCCCCCAAGGUCGCCCAGGUCAGUUCUGAAGGCUGAGUGUUGCCCAUGUGCUCAUUCACCUUUGAAAUUUACAGGCGGGCGGCUUCAUGUCCUUUCUCAGCGUCAUAGGUAAACUCUUUCGCUAGGACUUGAUAGUCUGUCCUGCCUUAAAACCCCCCAUUUACCAAAAAAAUCUGUCGCGAAUCAGGUAGGGAUACCCGCUGAACUUAAGCAUAUCAAUA
Molecule: ribosomal RNA, 627 nt
Filed under: Otidea caeruleopruinosa
Lineage: Eukaryota; Fungi; Ascomycota; Pezizomycetes; Pezizales; Pyronemataceae
Description: eukaryotic LSU rRNA
Rfam family: 5.8S ribosomal RNA (bases 235-388)
Source: RNAcentral